CCUACGGGAGGCAGCAGUGGGGAAUAUUGGGCAAUGGGCGCAAGCCUGACCCAGCAACGCCGCGUGAAGGAAGAAGGCUUUCGGGUUGUAAACUUCUUUUGUCAGGGACGAAGCAAGUGACGGUACCUGACGAAUAAGCCACGGCUAACUACGUGCCAGCAGCCGCGGUAAUACGUAGGUGGCAAGCGUUAUCCGGAUUUACUGGGUGUAAAGGGCGUGUAGGCGGGGAAGCAAGUCAGAUGUGAAAACCACGGGCUCAACCUGUGGCCUGCAUUUGAAACUGUUUUUCUUGAGUGCUGGGGAGGCAAUCGGAAUUCCGUGUGUAGCGGUGAAAUGCGUAGAUAUACGGAGGAACACCAGUGGCGAAGGCGGAUUGCUGGACAGUAACUGACGCUGAGGCGCGAAAGCGUGGGGAGCAAACAGGAUUAGAUACCCCAGUAGUC
This 443-nucleotide ribosomal RNA is filed under the name uncultured bacterium. RNAcentral describes it as "partial 16S ribosomal RNA". It matches the Rfam family "Bacterial small subunit ribosomal RNA", at positions 338 to 795 of the family's 1533-position model. The record is from RNAcentral.